GACGAACGCUGGCGGCGUGCUUAACACAUGCAAGUCGAACGGAAAGGCCCUGCUUUUGUGGGGUGCUCGAGUGGCGAACGGGUGAGUAACACGUGAGUAACCUGCCCUUGACUUUGGGAUAACUUCAGGAAACUGGGGCUAAUACCGGAUAGGAGCUCCUGCUGCAUGGUGGGGGUUGGAAAGUUUCGGCGGUUGGGGAUGGACGCGCGGCUUAUCAGCUUGUUGGUGGGGUAGUGGCUUACCAAGGCUUUGACGGGUAGCCGGCCUGAGAGGGUGACCGGCGACCUGGGGACUGCGAGAGGGCCCAGAGUCCUACGGGAGGCAGCAGUGGGGAAUAUGGCACAAUGGGCGGAAGCCUGAGGCAGAAACGUCGCGUGCGGGAUGACGGCCUUCGGGUUGUAAACCGCUUUCGCCUGUGACGAAGCGUGAGUGACGGUAAUGGGUAAAGAAGCACCGGCUAACUACGUG
This 468-nucleotide ribosomal RNA is filed under the name uncultured bacterium. RNAcentral describes it as "partial 16S ribosomal RNA". It matches the Rfam family "Bacterial small subunit ribosomal RNA", at positions 28 to 507 of the family's 1533-position model. The record is from RNAcentral.